AGCCCAACAGCUAGCCUAUUCACCCUAAAUCCAACAAUAAAAAUAUUACUAACCCCAAAUACCCUAAACAACUUAAUCUAAACCAUUUUUCCUCCCAAGUAAGAGUGACAGAAAAGGAACAACUGUAGAGCCAUAGAAAAAGUACCGCAAGGGAAAGCUGAAAGAGAAAUGAAAAAAACCAGUAAAGCACCGAAAAGCAGAGACUAAUCCUCGUACCUUUUGCAUCAUGAUUUAGCAAGUCCCUCCAAGCAAAAAGUCUUUUAGUUUGAUUUCCCGAAACUAGACGAGCUACUCCAAGACAGCCUAUCUAUAGGGCUAACCCGUCUCUGUGGCAAAAGAGUGGGAAGAGCUUCGAGUAGAGGUGACAGACCUACCGAGUCUAGUUAUAGCUGGUUGCCUGGGAACUAAAUAGAAGUUUAGCCUCUUAUCUUCUCCUCCCAACCUCUUGGCCCUCCAUAGACCAGGUCCAGAGAAUAUAUAAGAGAGUUAGUCAAAGGGGGUACAGCCCCUUUGAAUCAAGAUACAACUUCCCUAGAUGGAUUACAAUCAAAAUUAACUAAGGUUGAUGUUUCAGUGGGCCUAAAAGCAGCCACCAGAAAAAAUAGCGUUAAAGCUUAAACAUAUUACCCACCUAUUAUAUUGAUAACAAAUUGCACUCCUCUUAAGCCUACCAGGCCGUCCUAUCUAUCGAUAGGAAAGAUUAUGCUAAUAUGAGUAAUAAGAGAACACGCUUCUCUCCGAGCAUAUGUGUACAUCGGAACGGACCAACCCCCGAAAAUUUAACGGCCCUAAUCAAAGAAGGAAACAGAGCAAAAAUAAAUAACAAGAAAAGCCUCUAGUAAAAUAACCGUUAACCCCACACUGGUAUGCAAAUCCGGAAAGACUAAAAAGAGAAGAAGGAACUCGGCAAAACCUGCUCAAGCCUCGCCUGUUUACCAAAAACAUCGCCUCUUGAGAUCCCCUUAUAAGAGGUCCCGCCUGCCCCGUGACUCUACAGUUUAACGGCCGCGGUAUCUUGACCGUGCAAAGGUAGCGCAAUCACUUGUCUUUUAAAUGAGGACCUGUAUGAAUGGCAAAACGAGGGCUUAACUGUCUCCUUCCCUAAGUCAAUGAAAUUGAUCUUCCCGUGCAGAAGCGGGAAUACUAACAUAAGACGAGAAGACCCUAUGGAGCUUUAGACACAAAAACAGAUCAUGUUAAACCCCCUUGUUUAUAAGGUAAAACCAAUUGAAACCUGUUGUAUGUCUUCGGUUGGGGCGACCACGGGGAAACAACCAACCCCCACGUGGAGAAGAAACACCUUUUGUUUCCAAACCCAAGAGCUACAGCUCUAAGUAGCAGAAUUUCUGACCUUGCAGAUCCGGUAUACCGAUCAACGAACCAAGUUACCCUAGGGAUAACAGCGCAAUCCUCUUUUAGAGCCCAUAUCGACAAGAGGGUUUACGACCUCGAUGUUGGAUCAGGACAUCCUAAUGGUGCAGCCGCUAGUAAGGGUUCGUUUGUUCAACGAUUAAAGUCCUACGUGAUCUGAGUUCAGACCGGAGUAAUCCAGGUCAGUUUCUAUCUAUGAAAUGAUUUCUUCUAGUACGAAAGGACCGAAGAAAAGAGGCCAAUACCCCAGGUACGCCUCAUCCUCACCUAAUGAAAACAACUAAAAUAGACGACAGGACAUAACCCCUCCCGCUAUAGAUAAUAGCAA
Molecule: ribosomal RNA, 1699 nt
Filed under: Empetrichthys latos latos
Lineage: Eukaryota; Metazoa; Chordata; Actinopteri; Cyprinodontiformes; Goodeidae
Description: 16S ribosomal RNA
Rfam family: Bacterial large subunit ribosomal RNA
Source: RNAcentral